Molecule: small RNA, 56 nt
Filed under: Arabidopsis thaliana (thale cress)
Lineage: Eukaryota; Viridiplantae; Streptophyta; Magnoliopsida; Brassicales; Brassicaceae
Description: ATSL205780
Source: RNAcentral
UAUCCAUCGUCUAUUGUGUGACCUGAGAGCUUUGUGGAAUUCGACCCUUAAGUACU